RNAcentral lists this long non-coding RNA (278 nucleotides) under Bemisia tabaci. RNAcentral's name for it is "lncRNA ENSSSA1UGG001186". Lineage: Eukaryota; Metazoa; Arthropoda; Insecta; Hemiptera; Aleyrodidae. The record is from RNAcentral.
AUAUUUUUCUUCCGAUUUUUCAGAUAAUUUUGAUCGCAAUUUCACCCAAAGCUCCUGAAAAUUUCAGGGAUAAAUAUUCAUAGAUUUCUUCAAAAAUAAACAUAAUCGGGGAAGGAAAUUUGGCAACUCCCGAAUUUUCAUACGGCGUUUUUCCUUAGCACGGUAGAAUAGUGUACAUAAUGGUAAGACAGAAGGACGCAAAACGCAUAUGAAAUUGGAAUUGGAAGAACGACUUGGGAGACGGGAAACGAGAAGCUUCUGCAAAAAACCACCUGAGG